AUUGAACGCUGGCGGCAGGCCUAACACAUGCAAGUCGAACGAGUGGCGGACGGAUGAGUAAUGUCUAGGAAACUGCCUGAUGGAGAGGGAUCACUACUGGAAACGGUAACUAAUACCGCAUACCAUCAGAUGUGCCCAGAUGGGAUUAGCGAGUUGGUGGGGUAACGGCUCACCAAGGCGACGAUCCCUAGCUGAUCUUAGAGGAUGACCAGUCACACUGGAACUGUGACACGGUCCAGAUGCCUACGGGAGGCAGCAGUGGGGAAUAUUGGACAAUGGGCGAAAGCCUGAUCCAGCCAUGCCGCGUGUGUGAAGAAGGUCUUCGGAUUGUAAAGCACUUUAAGUUGGGAGGCGUUACCAACAGAAUAAGCACCGGCUAACUUCGUGCCAGCAGCCGCGGUAAUUC
Molecule: ribosomal RNA, 406 nt
Filed under: uncultured bacterium
Lineage: Bacteria
Description: partial 16S ribosomal RNA
Rfam family: Bacterial small subunit ribosomal RNA
Source: RNAcentral